UUGGCCUCAGGCUGCUGCACUGUCACCGGUCUUUUCUCCGGCGACCACUGGCCUGAUUCCCCAACUUUCCCCGCAAUGCUGGUGGUUGUGGCGACAUGGGAAGUCGGUGGCUUUUGAGGCUCAUGCAGGGAUUGUUUGGUUAACUGAAGUGAGGCCAUGUAACACCUAUGCAGCUUGGCAGUUAAAGUAGCUGAAAGAAGCUUGGAAGACGACGACUGGGAGGCGUUGGGAUUGUAAGGGAAGUUGGUUCUCGCCCUCGGACCACACAUGAGCCUCGCCGCCUCGUCAUAGGCCCGAGCAGCGUCCUCCGCCGUUUCGAAUGUGCCCAGCCAAAUUCUAGUCUUCCUGCACAAACCCGAAACGUUUCAAUUAGCAACUUGGAAGUGAACACCGAAACGUGAACGAAACCGAAACCGAAACCGAAACCGAAACAUGUACAUGUUCAUGUGUUUUAACUUACAGAAGUGGGUGGCGAAUUUCAGAGACCCAACUGCCCCAAUGCCUCUGUCGGACGCCUCGAUAUCGCUGCUGAGGUCUGGCCAUGUUAGAGUUAUUAAAGAAAGGAAAGAAAACGUUUCGUGCGGGGAGUGUUUGUGAAAAUGCCUGA
Molecule: long non-coding RNA, 607 nt
Filed under: Vitis vinifera (wine grape)
Lineage: Eukaryota; Viridiplantae; Streptophyta; Magnoliopsida; Vitales; Vitaceae
Description: long non-coding RNA (VVIN_LNC000971)
Source: RNAcentral